This 98-nucleotide small RNA is filed under the name Gordonia amarae NBRC 15530. RNAcentral's name for it is "Mycobacterium sRNA Ms_AS-1". It matches the Rfam family "Mycobacterium sRNA Ms_AS-1". Lineage: Bacteria; Bacillati; Actinomycetota; Actinomycetes; Mycobacteriales; Gordoniaceae. The record is from Rfam by way of RNAcentral.
GUCGGGUUCGGGAUGAAGUGAUUGACCUGCUCACCGAUCACCGCCAUGGUGCGGCGGCCGUUCUGGACCAUCUGGACGCCGCGUGUGCGGAAUUCCUU